AUUGAACGCUGGCGGCAGGCCUAAUACAUGCAAGUCGAACGGUAACAUAAGAGAAGCUUGCUUUCUUGAUGACGAGUGGCGGACGGGUGAGUAAGAUUUGGGAAACUACCUGAUAGAGGGGGACAACAGUUGGAAACGACUGCUAAUACCGCAUACAGCCCUUAGGGGUGAAAGAAGAAAUUCGCUAUCAGAUGUGCCCAAACGGGNUUAGCUAGUAGGUGAGGUAAAGGCUCACCUAGGCGACGAUCUCUAGCUGGUCUGAGAGGAUGAUCAGCCACAUUGGGACUGAGACACGGCCCAGACUCCUACGGGAGGCAGCAGUAGGGAAUAUUGCACAAUGGAGGAAACUCUGAUGCAGCCAUGCCGCGUGUGUGAAGAAGGCCCUUCGGGUUGUAAAGGCACUUUCGGAGGGGAGGAA
RNAcentral lists this ribosomal RNA (418 nucleotides) under uncultured bacterium. RNAcentral's name for it is "bacterial SSU rRNA". It matches the Rfam family "Bacterial small subunit ribosomal RNA", at positions 30 to 449 of the family's 1533-position model. The record is from RNAcentral.